GAAAUUGUCGUCCUCGGCGGACAACAGGGCUUGGAUGAAAUGUGGCGGAAUCUCGGCGAAUUUGAUCGGCGAGCGGCGCAUCUCGCCGAACUCGGCAAUCAGUUUUCCGUCGCUGCUGAAGACCCGCAGGGGAAUCUGCAGCUCUACGCUGCGCAGGGCGUCGACAGACGGCAGGCUGGGGCUAAGAUACAGAAAUGCCCCGCUGAGCACGAGCAACAGCCCGCAGACCACGGCGAGGAAAGACCACCAGAAAAACUUCAGCAGGCGUAUCAAGGCUUUUGGAUUUCCAGAUAA
Molecule: antisense RNA, 294 nt
Filed under: Pseudomonas rhizosphaerae
Lineage: Bacteria; Pseudomonadati; Pseudomonadota; Gammaproteobacteria; Pseudomonadales; Pseudomonadaceae
Description: anti ponA RNA
Rfam family: anti ponA RNA
About the family: Transcribed antisense to the penicillin-binding protein 1A gene called ponA.
Source: Rfam by way of RNAcentral